RNAcentral lists this ribosomal RNA (233 nucleotides) under uncultured Enterobacterales bacterium. Its description in RNAcentral is "partial 16S ribosomal RNA". It matches the Rfam family "Bacterial small subunit ribosomal RNA", at positions 99 to 334 of the family's 1533-position model. Lineage: Bacteria; Pseudomonadati; Pseudomonadota; Gammaproteobacteria; Enterobacterales. The record is from RNAcentral.
CGGACGGGUGAGUAAUGUCUGGGAAACUGCCUGAUGGAGGGGGAGUAACUACUGGAAACGGUAGCUAAUACCGCAUAACGUCGCAAGACCAAAGAGGGGGACCUUCGGGCCUCUUGCCAUCGGAUGUGCCCAGAUGGGAUUAGCUAGUAGGUGGGGUAACGGCUCACCUAGGCGACGAUCCCUAGCUGGUCUGAGAGGAUGACCAGCCACACUGGAACUGAGACACGGUCCAG